Molecule: ribosomal RNA, 478 nt
Filed under: uncultured anaerobic ammonium-oxidizing bacterium
Lineage: Bacteria
Description: bacterial SSU rRNA
Rfam family: Bacterial small subunit ribosomal RNA
Source: RNAcentral
UUUCGCAAUGCCCGAAAGGGUGACGAAGCGACGCCGCGUGCGGGAAGAAGGCCUUCGGGUUGUAAACCGCUGUCGGGAGUUAAGAAAUGUAAGGAUGUUAAUAGCAUCUUUGCUUGACUAAGGCUCCGGAGGAAGCCACGGCUAACUCUGUGCCAGCAGCCGCGGUAAUACAGAGGCGGCAAGCGUUGUUCGGAAUUAUUGGGCGUAAAGAGCACGUAGGCGGCUAUGUAAGUCGGUUGUGAAAGCCUUCCGCUCAACGGGAGAACAGCAUCCGAUACUGCAUGGCUUGAGUGCGGGAGGGGAGAGUGGAACUUCUGGUGGAGCGGUGAAAUGCGUAGAUAUCAGAAGGAACGCCGGCAGCGAAAGCGGCUCUCUGGCCCAUAACUGACGCUGAGUGUGCGAAAGCUAGGGGAGCAAACGGGAUUAGAUACCCCGGUAGUCCUAGCCGUAAACGAUGGGCACUAAGUAGAGGGGUUUU